RNAcentral lists this unclassified non-coding RNA (1020 nucleotides) under Homo sapiens (human). Its description in RNAcentral is "PPP1R3B divergent transcript (ENSG00000285236.3)". The record is from RNAcentral. Lineage: Eukaryota; Metazoa; Chordata; Mammalia; Primates; Hominidae.
AGUUCAGCGAGCCAUUUCAGCAGAUUGGAGAUCCCCUGCCUGCAGCACGUGCUGAUCUCCAAGGGUGAGGCUGGAUGAAGCCAGGGGCUAUGGAAAGGGAGACUGUUUCAGAGGACUUGACACCAUCUUCAGUAAUUUCUCUGGUUCUUGGCAGCUCCAUUUGGCUGCGUCCCUACCCUGCAUAACCCUCCCAGCUAGUCUACUCCAGGGCAGCGUCCAGCUGGUGACCUGAGAGGGCAGUGGCGCACCAGUCUCCAUGAAGGUUGAGCUCCGAUGGCCAACGGCCAUUUCCACCUUGUGGUCUACAACUCUUCAUCCCGACUGCAUGGAGGUUGGUCUCUCUCUUCAGCUGGAUUUAGGCCACCAUCUGAGCCCCCGGGGUACGUUUUGUCUGACCCUGGCGCCAUUCGAACGGUUCUUCUACAGCAUCAGGCGUUCACCUGGCUCCUAGGGCUUUUGUGCUGUAGGCCUAUAUUUCCAGCUACUUUUGGAAAAAAUCUCUCUGGAGGCUCAAUGAGCUUGUCACAUCAGCCUGCCCAGAGUAUCAAGAAAGACUUAAUCAGCAGUGAAUACUCUCCACCAAGCCCUUGACCCAUUGUCAGUCUCUGGCAUCAGAUCCUUUCCAGUAGGGCAAAGUGCAACUGCAGCCAGCUCAUGCCUUCAAGAGAAGGACUGAAGAUCAUUGUGUGCCUAAACCAAUUCUCUUUCCUGCCACCAUGUGAAGAAGGACAUGUUUGCUUCCCCUUCUGCCAUGAAUGGACAGGGUCCUGCUGUGUUGCCCAGGCUGGCCUUGAACUCCUGGCUUCAAACAGUCUUCCCACUUGGGCUCCCAAAGUGCUGGGAUUAAAGGGGCGAGUUACAGCACCAGGACCUGAAAUGUGACACCCCUGCUCCCCAUUCACCCUCCGCUAUCAGUAAAAGCUUCCUCAGACCUCACCAGAAGCUGGACAGAUAGAUGCUGGUGCCAAGCUUGUACAGACUGCAGAACCAUGGGCCAAAUAAACCUCUUUUCUUUAUAAA